AAACUUCUGCAAUGGACGAGAGUCUGACGGAGCAACGCCGCGUGAGUGAUGAAGGAUUACGGAUCGUAAAACUCUGUUGUUAGGGAAGAACAAGUACCGGAGUCACUGCCGGUACCUUGACGGUACCUGACGAAAAAGCCACGGCUAACUACGCGCCAGCAGCCGCGGUAAUACGUAGGUGGCAAGCGUUGUCCGGAUUUAUUGGGCGUAAAGCGCGCGCAGGCGGUCUGUUAAGUCUUAUGUGAAAUCUUACAGCUUAACUGUAAGCGGUCAUUGGAAACUGGGAGACUUGAGUGCAGAAGCGGAGAGUGGAAUUCCAUGUGUAGCGGUGAAAUGCGUAGAGAUAUGGAGGAACUCCAGUGGAUAAGGCGACUCUCUGGUCUGUAACUGACGCUGGGGUGCGAAAGCGUGGGGAGCAAACA
This 422-nucleotide ribosomal RNA is filed under the name uncultured bacterium. Its description in RNAcentral is "partial 16S ribosomal RNA". It matches the Rfam family "Bacterial small subunit ribosomal RNA", at positions 359 to 774 of the family's 1533-position model. The record is from RNAcentral.